RNAcentral lists this ribosomal RNA (460 nucleotides) under uncultured bacterium. RNAcentral describes it as "partial 16S ribosomal RNA". It matches the Rfam family "Bacterial small subunit ribosomal RNA", at positions 338 to 795 of the family's 1533-position model. The record is from RNAcentral.
CCUACGGGAGGCUGCAGUGAGGAAUAUUGGUCAAUGGGCGUAAGCCUGAACCAGCCAAGUCGCGUGAGGGAUGAAGGUUCUAUGGAUCGUAAACCUCUUUUAUCAGGGAAUAAAGUGCGGGACGUGUCCCCUUUUGCAUGUACCUUAUGAAUAAGGAUCGGCUAACUCCGUGCCAGCAGCCGCGGUAAUACGGAGGAUCCGAGCGUUAUCCGGAUUUAUUGGGUUUAAAGGGUGCGCAGGCGGUCUUUUAAGUCAGCGGUGAAAGCCAGUGGCUCAACCACGGAACUGCCGUUGAAACUGGCAGGCUGGAGUUGGUUUGAAGCAGGCGGAAUGCGUGGUGUAGCGGUGAAAUGCUUAGAUAUCGCGCAGAACCCCGAUUGCGAAGGCAGCAUGCCAGGCCAUGACUGACGCUGAUGCACGAAAGCGUGGGGAUCGAACAGGAUUAGAUACCCCAGUAGUC